This is a non-coding RNA of Chrysemys picta bellii (western painted turtle), 407 nucleotides long. Lineage: Eukaryota; Metazoa; Chordata; Testudines; Emydidae. The record is from the annotation of a RefSeq genome assembly.
GUGUUCUCUCAGAAAUCCGGCUGGUGCAGUGGGGACCAGACCAGGUGAAGCCCACGGAGUCUGCCAGGCUCACUUGUGCUGUCUACGGUACCUCUGUUGAUGGCAACAACUGGAGCUGGAUCCGGCAGCCUCCUGGAAGGGGGCUGGAGUGGUUGGGAGUGAUCUGGAGUAGUGGAGGAACUGGCUACAGCUCGGGUAUCAAAGACCGAAUCCGCAUCACCAGAGACAGCUCUAAAGGCCAGGUCUAUUUGCAGCUGAACAACAUGAAAGCUGCAGACACCGCCACGUAUUACUGCGCUAGACGGCACAGUGAUACAGCGCAACAGAGCGCUCAUGCAAAAAUCCUUCCUGCCCAGUCAGCUCACACCCUGCCACCCAUGCCCGACACCCUGAGCAAGCCUGUCUAG